CCACCAUCUUCUGUGAUGUCAGACUAACAGUAUGUAGGUAGCUGUCUAAAGAAUGACAUUGUUCAUCCCUGAUAUGGCUGGUCAUCUGUUUUUGCUCAUCUUCCUUUUCGGUGAGUUAUUUUUCCGUUCCAUCAUCUGUUUGUGCUACAGGAUAUUCCAUUCUUCUAUCCCCUCUUUUAGUCUUUUACUUUAGGAACUCUUAAUCUUUCAACAUUGAUCAUCCUAUUGAUUUUUAAUUUCUCUGUCAUUAUUUGACAUUUUGUUCAGAUAAGAAUGACCACUGCUUGAUAACAUGGCUGUGAAUGCAUUACAGACUCUUCUGCUUCGCCAGCUUGUGUAAAGUGAUUCCAUCUCAUAUUUUCUUAUUUUUCAUAAUGGCAAAAAGAGCAUGAUAAUGACCAAUUGUGUUAUGUCUAGAUACCUUCCAGUACCUCAAAGCCAAAGGUCAGUAUCAUUAUUAUGAAUUUUAAGUUGCAAUAUGUAACUUUUUGGGCUACCAGACUAAACAACGGGUUACCAAAAUAUUAAAAUAAUGAUUGACAUAUUUUCAAUUAAAACGUUUUUUUGAUGAAUUAAUCCCUACAAUUUCAUCCUUCCAUGAGAUGCUGUAUACACUGGGUAUACAAAACAUGACAUAACAUGACAAAGACUGACCAGGAAAAUCCAGGUGAAAGAUAUGAUCCCUUAUUGAUGUCACUUGUUAAAGCCACUUAAAUCAGUAAAUAGAUCAAGGGGAGGAGACAGGUUAAAGACAUGGAUUGUGUAUGUCUGCCAUUCAGAGGGGAAAAGGGCAAGACACAAUAUUUAAGUGCCUUUGACCGGGUAUGGUAGUAGGUGCCAGAACUGCAAUAGCUCAACAGUUUCCUGUGUGUAUCAAGGAUGGUCCACCACCCUAAGGACAUCCUGCCAACUUGACACAACUGUGGGAAGGAUUGGAGUCAAACACAAAAAAAUGGUCUAUUCAUUAUUCCAUUUGACUGCUCAAUCCACUAUGGUGACAGAACGGAAUGCCAACAAAAAAAGCCUCUAUUUACAUGUUGCAUAUGAGUGCAUUUCAGACUUUCACACUUAAAAUUUGAGUUUAAGGCUCGUAUGAAUGUCCUGCUAAUGAAAUGUUAGUGUCAUCAACUGCAUUAUACUUAACAAUAACUGCAACUUCAACCAGUAAAAUGGCUCUUUGGCUAUCUUUUGCUGCAGCCUAUGGCCAUGUCAGUGAGUGUUUAGCAUUCUAGCUAACAACUUGCUGCAUCCAAAAUAGUUAUUUUACAAAGAUCACAACCAAAUAGAAUCUUAGUGAUUGUUCAAGCAAGAAUCAAAACAUCAUUGUCAGCGUAGGAGAGCCCCCCAAAAGGUUAUUUUGUUUAGAAGUAAUAAAAACGUAAAUCUAGGCUAUGUUGAACGGGCGCAGAUGGCGUGGCUUUCUUACUGCAGCCAAGAGUCCCGCUCAUCUGUACGUGACGUCAGUGUGUCGUUCACUGGAAAGUAUGGAACGUCAUUUUGGUCUUUGCAUUUCAAAAAAGAUACAUGUGAAAUAACACUGUUUGAUGCAUCAAAGAAGCUUGUUGACCAAUCAGGACCUAGAUAUGACUGUACGUCACAAUCAUUUAACACGUUUGUUACUUCUUUACGUAGUUAUUACAGAUUGAUUACACUAUCACUUGUAUUUCAUAUGUCACAGUGAUUCACCGAUAUGUGUGAUGCUGGUAAAGUUUUGUCUUCUGCACCUGCCGCUGCAGCACAAGCGCAGACACACCUCCCCAAGCUCUGGGACAGUUCUGGUCAGAAAGAAAUCCAUCACUUCCGUUUGUUUGGCUGUGCCCAUUUAGCAACGUUCCAAAAUGAGCAUAUGUCCUGGUGAAAGGAUGAAAAUAAAACACAUUUGCUUAGAACAAUAAUACAUCUUUAAUGAAAGCCAUGUUGUCCUUAAUCUUUUGUUUAAAUGUUGGCAACAGUUUUACAAAAGCAAAAUGCCCAUCGAAGCCGAGGAUUAUUGUCUGAUAACUCUCUCCUAAGGGCUGUUCCUGGCACGGGUUCUCAUUGUUUAUUGCUUAAAUAGACAACAGCAUCUUAAUUGUUUUUCCCUUUCAAACUCAUAUAAUAUUAAGUUGUACAUUAUCGGUAUGAGUAGUUAAACAUUGAAAAUGAAUUUACAACUCAAUUUAAAAAGACACUCCAUCAUCCCUCUGAUGUCACAGAUCUUCCGUAUCCCAGUCUGACAGUGAUUCCUGCAGUCAUCAAAGAGAGAGACUCAGUUCAGCUGAACUGUCAGACUCCUCCAUCUGUCUCUGAGUGUUACUUCAAAAUGGCUGGGCAAGUGGAAUUCACCCUUCCAUCAGCCUGUCAACAGACACUCACAGGAACAUUAUUGGUGAGGUGGACAGGUCAGAGUUCACCAGCUGAGGUCAAAAUGCAAUGUCAGUACAGUGAAACAGGUUCACAGUUUAGAUCCAUAUUCAGUGAGCCUUCAACAGUCACAAUUCAGGGUAAGAAGCCUAUUUGAAUGGUUGUAAACAAUGUACUGUUGUUCCAUCAUUACCAUAUUCCUCUUGGGAUAUGUUAUCAUACUGUGUGUUGUCAUAAACUGUUACAUGAAGCAAUCAGGCAAUAUAUUAUAUAUCCUUAAUUUCCAUACUGUCGCUGCAUAAAGUAAUUGACUCAAGAUCCUUAAGUCUGAAAUAACAAGGAGGUACAUUUCUCAAAACCACAAAAUGCUAAAUUCUCCUAUUCUCACAGACCUUCCUCGGCUGACAGUGAGUUCUACAGUCAUCAGAGAGACAGAAUCAGUUCAGCUGAGUUGUGAGACUCCUCCAUCUCUCCUUGUGUUUCACUGUUACUUCAACAUAGAGGGGGGGGGGGGAAUCUUCCAGACUCAUCCUGUACUCAGACACUCACAGGAACAGAGCUGCUCAAGAGGGCAGAUCAAACGUUUCCAGAUGUGGUCAAAGUGACGUGUUACUAUGCUGUAGGGAGGUAUCACAUAUCUCCUUUAAGUGACCCUGUCUCAGUCACUGUUCAGGACUCACCUCCCAGGCUAACAGUCAAUUCUACAGUCAUCAGAGAGAGAGACUCAGUUCAGCUGAGCUGUCAGACUCCUCCAUCUGUCUCUGUGUCUCAGUGUUACUUCUACACAGACGGGAGAGAUCCUAAACCCUCACCCUGUACGAGUUCACUAACAGGGACUGAGCUGCUCUCCUGGGCAGGUCAAAGUUCAUCUGCUGAGAUCAAACUGAGAUGUUUUUACACAGUAGAAACUCACUAUACAUCGAUGCACAGUGGUUCUGUCUCUGUUACUAUUCUUGAGCCACUUGAUUUCCUGUGGCGUCACAUCCUCACUGUGUUGGUCCUACUGGCUACUUGUGGAGUACUUAUACACUAUGUCAUCUCCCAUCAAUGCCCAAACGCUAUUCCAUAGAGAAGCAGGAGGGUGGACCAGAGAAAUGAAGACUUUUCGUUGACAGUGUGCUGAAUCACCGUGCAAACCUACAAACACACAGACACACCCACAGACACGCAAACUUAUUUUUACAUUUAAAAAAUAAAUAGUUUUACGUUUUUUGCAUCUUUGAGAUUUCUGUGAUUUUUCUUUUGAAGUUGUGUGCAUGAUGGUGUUGCUAGGCAAGUUGAAAAC
Oncorhynchus gorbuscha (pink salmon) is the source of this 3628-nucleotide long non-coding RNA. RefSeq lists it as uncharacterized. The record is from RefSeq and is a predicted model, not a curated record. Lineage: Eukaryota; Metazoa; Chordata; Actinopteri; Salmoniformes; Salmonidae. The transcript has 4 exons.